This 227-nucleotide long non-coding RNA is filed under the name Lathyrus oleraceus (garden pea). RNAcentral describes it as "Pisum sativum (pea) long non-coding RNA (PSAT_LNC035470)". Lineage: Eukaryota; Viridiplantae; Streptophyta; Magnoliopsida; Fabales; Fabaceae. The record is from RNAcentral.
AAAAAGUCAAUAAUUAAGAAAAUCUAAAAAAGCUAAACAUUUAAAAUCUAAACAACUAAUUAAUGAUUAAAUUAAAUUAAUAAAAAUAUAAAAGUAAAAUAAAUAGUAAGAAAUUAUAAAAAAUUUAAAUGAAAUAGUAAGCAUAAAAAAUAAAAAUAUGGAGGUAUGCUACUCCCAAGUAUCAAACCCAUCCCACUAAAGAAAGUGAAACUGCUCUCUCUCUACUA